UACAAAUUAGCAUAUUAGUGUAUUGAUUUUAGAAUUCAAAGAAAAACGUUAGUUUAUUUGUAG
Molecule: transfer RNA, 63 nt
Filed under: Ciconiphilus decimfasciatus
Lineage: Eukaryota; Metazoa; Arthropoda; Insecta; Psocodea; Menoponidae
Description: tRNA-Leu
Source: RNAcentral